This 326-nucleotide ribosomal RNA is filed under the name uncultured eukaryote. Its description in RNAcentral is "partial 18S ribosomal RNA". It matches the Rfam family "Eukaryotic small subunit ribosomal RNA", at positions 1470 to 1796 of the family's 1831-position model. The record is from RNAcentral.
CCCUUAGAUGUUCUGGGCCGCACGCGCGCUACACUGAUGCAUUCAACGAGCACCCGCUGGGCCGAGAGGUCCGGCUAAUCUUUGAACGUGCAUCGUGCUGGGGAUAGAUGAUUGCAAUUAUUCAUCUUCAACGAGGAAUGCCUAGUAAGCGCAAGUCAUCAGCUUGCGUUGAUUACGUCCCUGCCCUUUGUACACACCGCCCGUCGCUCCUACCGAUUGAAUGGUCCGGUGAAGCGUUCGGACCGUGGCCUUUGGACGGUUCGCCGUCUGUUGGCUGCGGGAAGUUCGUUAAACCUUAUCAUUUAGAGGAAGGAGAAGUCGUAACA